This 798-nucleotide long non-coding RNA is filed under the name Marmota monax (woodchuck). The record is from RNAcentral. Lineage: Eukaryota; Metazoa; Chordata; Mammalia; Rodentia; Sciuridae.
CAGGUAUAUUCCCACAGGCUGUGUGCUCUGGCCCUGGAUGGGGUGAGCUGUUGGGCCGAAUGGGCAAUGAAAGCUGGUACUGUCGGUGGUGUUGCAGGUGCAACUGGGCAUCCUGGACGGGCACCGCGUAGUGGGAUUCCUGCAUUGCACGCAUUUACAUGCACCCACUGGUGAGCCCUGUGGGAAGGAUUGUUGGACGGUAGCCAGGCCCUCCUACGGCCCCUCUUUCGCAGCAGGCCUACCCUUAUUUGCACCUCUCUUUCCCACUGCCCACUGUUUUUUGUUCACUGCCCCAGUAAUGGCAACUCCCAAGAAGUGCCUGGGUGGGUGCAGAGACCCCAGUCUAGCGGGAACCAGGUGUCCAGGAUGUGGAUCCUCAACCUGGGCCGAAUAGAAGGCGGCACACCUCUACCCCCACCCUCCACCCCUUCUGUAGAGGAUGGGCUCUUGCGCUGCAAACAGCUGACGCUGCUACUGGACUGGGCAGAGCAGUUUGAGGCCGAGAGCCGCCAGAGUGGUGAGGCUGUGGCCUUUAGUGUGCUUCUGGGUGACCUAAAUUUUGACAACUGCUCAAAAGGUGAGGAGCUUAGCUGGGGGAGGCGAGGCCAAAAGGCCCAGCCCCGCCCACUGAACGCUGGUCUUAUGUGCAGACCACGCACAGGAACAGGGGCACAAACUCUUUCGCUGUUUCCGGGAUCCCUGCCGGCUGAGCACACGCCAGGAUCAGCCUUGGGCCUUGGGUAUGCGUCAGGGGGUUGGUGGGGGAGGGGUGGCCCCUCCAGGGAUUCAUCAGCUAGG